UUCAUUACAACUAAAGCAGAGUACGCAUAAAAAGAUACAUAAAUUGAUAAAAUUAUCCCAAUCAAAGACGAAUAACGGACAUCACAACUUCUAUUAGUCGAAUUAGAGCACUAAACGUAAAAGGAUUUUGAUGACUGUACAUUUUACACCCCCUCACAACGGGGGCCUACGCCAAUAAAAAAAAAAAAAGGUGCGGGCUCCCCUGUUGUGAGGGAGCUAUCACCCACCAUGUGAAGAAGAAUGUACCUCUAGCAUGGUUGAACAUAAAAAUUAUCAGGGAUAGUAUACUUCAAUACAACUUAAAAAUUCUUCGGCUGUUAUUUCAGCCGGCCAACUUAAAUCAGCAUCAGAAUUCAACUGAUCGUGGUUCUAAGGCAUUUCUUCAAUUAAACUCCUUUUUGCUUCGACGCAGAACUUUGGUUGAUCCCAUGAAAUUCUACAAACGGCAUAAUCCUUGUUCACUCCCUCUAAAGAAAUUCCUUCCAACGUGUACUCGGUCAUUAUCCACCGACCGUUUCUAUUUUGCUCAUCUUGGUUCAAAUUGCCGUUCACUUUGAAUGUAAAUGACUUCUUUACACCAAUGACUUCGCCGUUGCUAUUCCGAAUAGAUUUCUGCUUAGAUUUUUCGGUCCAGGAUCCAAAACCGGCCACCCUAAUAUACCUUCUGUCUGUUCUUUUUAACUUCGUGAAGACGUAAAUUUCUUUCUUAACAACGCUUUCAGACUCCCCAACAAUUUCCCAUGGAUCAUUGUUGGAAAAAAUAAUCCACGGAGUUUUAUUCUCUCCAUAUAGGUUUCUGUCGAGAAUCUUCUCACAUGGCAGUACAGAUCCCAUUGCUUUGGGUUUUAAGUAAUGUGUUAAAAGAAUUUUGUCGGAGGGUUUGAAAACGAAACCUUGUGGUAUUGAUAAUGCCAUACCCGAGCUUUCAAGAAGAUUGAGAAUUCGAGCUGUGUAUGUGAGAGACGAAGUGUAUUGUCUCGGACCACAAAAUUAUCUCCAGAUUAAGAAAGAAGGUUUUUC
Molecule: long non-coding RNA, 1020 nt
Filed under: Olea europaea subsp. europaea
Lineage: Eukaryota; Viridiplantae; Streptophyta; Magnoliopsida; Lamiales; Oleaceae
Source: RNAcentral